This 153-nucleotide unclassified non-coding RNA is filed under the name uncultured Helicosporium. Its description in RNAcentral is "sequence contains ITS2". The record is from RNAcentral. Lineage: Eukaryota; Fungi; Ascomycota; Dothideomycetes; Tubeufiales; Tubeufiaceae.
CAAACCCUCAAGCUUCUGCUUGGUGUUGGGUCCUCGUCCCUCACAGGACGUGCCCGAAACUCGUAGGCGGUGGCGCCCAGCUCCUUUGCGUAGUUAUACAUUCCGCUCUGGAGGGUUGGGUACUGCUCGCCCCAUAAUCUUUUAUUAUCUAUG